GAUGAAGAACGUAGCGAAAUGCGAUACUUGGUGUGAAUUGCAGAAUCCCGUGAACCAUCGAGUCUUUGAACGCAAGUUGCGCCCGAAGCCAUUAGGCCGAGGGCACGCCUGCCUGGGCGUCACACGUCGUUGCCCCCCCAUCUACUCCUUCGGGAUUGCGGGGGGCGGAUGAUGGCCUCCCGUGCGCCUCGUCGCGCGGUUGGCAUAAAUGCCAAGUCCUCGGCGACGCACGCCACGCCAAUCGGUGGUUGCGAAACCUCGGUUGCCCGUCGUGUGCGGUCGUCGCGCAUCGAGGGCUCGAAAAAAUUGCCGGGCUCCGGCUCGGCUUUCAACGCGACCCCAGGUCAGGCGGGGUUACCCGCUGAAUUUAAGCAUAUCAAUAAGCGGAGGA
Molecule: unclassified non-coding RNA, 391 nt
Filed under: soil metagenome
Description: partial contains 5.8S ribosomal RNA, internal transcribed spacer 2, and large subunit ribosomal RNA
Rfam family: 5.8S ribosomal RNA (bases 1-122)
Source: RNAcentral